This 494-nucleotide ribosomal RNA is filed under the name uncultured bacterium. Its description in RNAcentral is "partial 16S ribosomal RNA". It matches the Rfam family "Bacterial small subunit ribosomal RNA", at positions 28 to 507 of the family's 1533-position model. The record is from RNAcentral.
GACGAACGCUGGCGGCGUGCUUAACACAUGCAAGUCGAACGGUGAAGCGCCUUCCUUUUUGGUGGGUGUGGAUGAGUGGCGAACGGGUGAGUAACACGUGAGUAACCUGCCCCCUUCUUCUGGAUAACCGCAUGAAAGUGUGGCUAAUACGGGAUAUUCUGGGUCUGUCGCAUGAUGGGUCUGGGAAAGAUAUUGUUUCGGUGGGGGAUGGGCUCGCGGCCUAUCAGCUUGUUGGUGGGGUGAUGGCCUACCAAGGCGGUGACGGGUAGCCGGCCUGAGAGGGUGGACGGUCACACUGGGACUGAGACACGGCCCAGACUCCUACGGGAGGCAGAAGUGGGGAAUAUUGCACAAUGGGCGCAAGCCUGAUGCAGCGACGCCGCGUGAGGGAUGGAGACCUUCGGGUUGUGAACCUCUUUCGCCAGUGAAGCAGGCCUGCCUCGUUUGUGGGUGGGUUGACGGUAGCUGGAUAAGAAGCGCCGGCUAACUACGUG